ACUCAAGUAUAUAUGGUAUCUGUUUAGUGGUAUUUUGUCGUUCCUCCUGCUCAAAAUAAAGUUGUUGUUUUUCUAUCCCUGUUUGCCCAGAGACGCUUGAGCUCAUACAU
Molecule: small nucleolar RNA, 110 nt
Filed under: Echinops telfairi (small Madagascar hedgehog)
Lineage: Eukaryota; Metazoa; Chordata; Mammalia; Afrosoricida; Tenrecidae
Description: Small nucleolar RNA SNORA63 (ENSETEG00000023255.1)
Source: RNAcentral